Molecule: ribosomal RNA, 253 nt
Filed under: uncultured prokaryote
Description: partial 16S ribosomal RNA
Rfam family: Bacterial small subunit ribosomal RNA
Source: RNAcentral
ACGUAGGGUGCGAGCGUUGUCCGGAAUUAUUGGGCGUAAAGGGCUCGUAGGCGGUUUGUCGCGUCGGGAGUGAAAACCAGGUGCUUAACACCUGGCUUGCUUUCGAUACGGGCAGACUAGAGGUAUUCAGGGGAGAACGGAAUUCCUGGUGUAGCGGUGAAAUGCGUAGAUAUCAGGAGGAACACCGGUGGCGAAGGCGCUCAUCUGGCCCAAUACUGACGCUGAGGCGCGAAAGCUAGGGGAGCAAACGGGA